Non-coding RNA from Hordeum vulgare subsp. vulgare (domesticated barley), 146 nucleotides. The record is from Rfam. NCBI's taxonomy places the organism in Eukaryota, Viridiplantae, Streptophyta, Magnoliopsida, Poales, Poaceae.
ACCUCUUUCUCGGUCUUCUGACUAAGAUCAAGUGUAGUAUCUGUUCUUAGAGCAUCUUCAAUAAAUGGUUCAAAACUGAAGAUGUAAAAUUUGGAUCGUCAAAAAGUGCGCUUUAAAGCUCCGAAAAAAGCUCAACUUCAACAAAU